CGGCGAACGGGUGAGUAACACGUGGGCAACCUGCCUCUAGCACUGGGAUAACUCCGGGAAACCGGGGCUAAUACCGGAUACGACCUCUGAGGGCAUCCUCCGGAGGUGGAAAGCAUUGUGGCUAGAGAUGGGCCCGCGGCCUAUCAGCUUGUUGGUGAGGUAACGGCCCACCAAGGCGACGACGGGUAGCCGGCCUGAGAGGGCGACCGGCCACACUGGGACUGAGACACGGCCCAG
This 237-nucleotide ribosomal RNA is filed under the name uncultured bacterium. RNAcentral's name for it is "partial 16S ribosomal RNA". It matches the Rfam family "Bacterial small subunit ribosomal RNA", at positions 96 to 334 of the family's 1533-position model. The record is from RNAcentral.